Molecule: ribosomal RNA, 468 nt
Filed under: uncultured bacterium
Lineage: Bacteria
Description: partial 16S ribosomal RNA
Rfam family: Bacterial small subunit ribosomal RNA
Source: RNAcentral
GACGAACGCUGGCGGCGUGCUUAACACAUGCAAGUCGAACGGAAAGGCCCUGCUUUUGUGGGGUGCUCGAGUGGCGAACGGGUGAGUAACACGUGAGUAACCUGCCCUUGACUUUGGGGUAACUUCAGGAAACUGGGGCUAAUACCGGAUAGGAGAUCCUGCUGCAUGGUGGGGGUUGGAAAGUUUCGGCGGUUGGGGAUGGACUAGCGGCUUAUCAGCUUGUUGGUGGGGUAGGGGAUUACCAAGGCUUUGACGGGUAGCCGGCCUGAGCGGGUGGACGGCCACAGUGGUACUGCGAUAGGGACCAGACUCCUACGGGAGGCAGCAGUGGGGAAUAUGGCACAAUGGGCGGAAGCCUGAGGCAGCAACGCCGCGUUCGGGAUGACGGCUUUCGGGUUGUAAACCGCUUUCGCCUGUGACGAAGCGGGAUUGACGGUAAUGGGUAAAGAAGCACCGGCUAACUACGUG